UACGAAGGGGGCUAGCGUUGCUCGGAAUCACUGGGCGUAAAGCGCACGUAGGCGGAUUGCUAAGUCAGGGGUGAAAUCCUGGAGCUCAACUCCAGAACUGCCUUUGAUACUGCCGUGCUUGAGGACUGGAGAGGAGACUGGAAUUUACGGUGUAGCGGUGAAAGGCGUAGAUAUCGUAAGGAAGACCAGUGGCGAAGGCGGGUCUCUGGACAGUUCCUGACGCUGAGGCACGAAGGUCAGGGGAGCAAACGGG
RNAcentral lists this ribosomal RNA (253 nucleotides) under uncultured bacterium. RNAcentral's name for it is "partial 16S ribosomal RNA". It matches the Rfam family "Bacterial small subunit ribosomal RNA", at positions 524 to 776 of the family's 1533-position model. The record is from RNAcentral.